UCAUUCUUUGAAUUAUGGGAGCUCUCAGUUCAUGCAAAUGCCAUUACAUUGUACAGAAAAAAGGAUAUUAUCACAGGAGGGAGGCAUCACCUAUACAAUUUAAUCCAGCAAGUCUCUGUCUCACCUAAUGCAAAUCUUGCUGGUGCUGAGGUGGUAGGUGGUCUUCCUCUGCUCCAAAACACUUAUGGCAGUUUCAUGCAGCUAUUGCAAGCUCCUAUUGAAUCAGAGAGUGCUCUAUAUUUGACAUCCAAUAGAUUUGAGUAUGACAACACCUUUUGGGGUUUUGAUCCUCACAAUGGUUAUCAACAAAAUGACACCUCUCAGAUGUGCAACUCUUUGCCACAAAGUGUAGCUGUGCAUCCUCCUGUGGCAUCACUGGACAUGCUAUAUGAUGAAAUGCAGAAAUCAAGCGCUGAUGUUGAUAAUCAAGCUGAGAUGUGCAGGCCAACAGUACAAUUGAAAGCAUCAUCUGUAGAAGUGAUUUAUAAUGAAAUGCAGACUCAAACUAUUGAGGCUGAUGCCUGUUUUGACCAGCACUUUGAGCAAGCAACAGAAGAGGAUUUAUUGUCUGAUCAUGCAAUAGUUACAUUUCAGCAAGUUGAGGAAAUAGAACAAGAUAAAAGUGCAGAAAAUCCAGAUCAAAAUUUUAGUGAGGAAGAUAUAACAUAUUUCUGGAGAAUGAAAUGCACAUGUGCCGUCAACAACAAAGUUUUUGCUGAUGAGAAUGAAGCUUUUGACUUCUACAAUGGUUAUGCUUAUAUGGUUGGUUUCUCUACAUGCAAAGCUAGCAAUUACCAUAGCAGAAAAACCGAUGUUGUGACAAGGCACACGUUCAAAUGCAACAGGUGGAAACCAAGUGAUCCAAAGGAGAAGGACCUGCCUGAGAUUGAUGAGUUGAGAAUUGUUUGCAAACAAACACAAUAA
RNAcentral lists this long non-coding RNA (924 nucleotides) under Oryza sativa aus subgroup. Its description in RNAcentral is "lncRNA OsNaBo_06g0018700". The record is from RNAcentral. Lineage: Eukaryota; Viridiplantae; Streptophyta; Magnoliopsida; Poales; Poaceae.